Molecule: ribosomal RNA, 510 nt
Filed under: uncultured bacterium
Lineage: Bacteria
Description: bacterial SSU rRNA
Rfam family: Bacterial small subunit ribosomal RNA
Source: RNAcentral
GACGAACGCUGGCGGCGUGCCUAAUACAUGCAAGUCGAGCGAAGUUUUUCUGGUGCUUGCACUANAAAAACUUACCGGCGAACGGGUGAGUAACACGUAAAGAACCUGCCUCAUAGACUGGGACAACUAUUGGAAACGAUAGCUAAUACCGGAUAACAGCAUUAACUGCCUGGUUGAUGUUUAAAAGUUGGUUUUGCUAACACUAUGAGAUGGCUUUGCGGUGCAUUAGCUAGUUGGUGGGGUAAAGGCCUACCAAGGCGACNAUGCAUAGCCGACCUGAGAGGGUGAUCGGCCACACUGGGACUGAGACACGGCCCAGACUCCUACGGGAGGCAGCAGUANGAAAUCUUCCGCAAUGGGCGAAAGCCUGACGGAGCACCGCCGCGUGAGUGAANAGGGAUUUCGGUUCGUAAAGCUCUGUUGUUAGGGAAGAAUGAUUGUGUANUAACUAUACACAGNACAUACNGUACCUAACCUCAAAGCUCUCNUUAACUACUUGCCAGCAGCCGC